AACGCUGCCAAGAGCAAAGUGACAUCCCAGCGUCCCCAGCCCGUGUGAGUGAGCCAAGCCCUGGCGCUGCAGGGGGAGGGAGCAGCUUUCGGAUGCCUUUUCCAGAGGCCGUUUCUGUAGUGGCAAAGUGACUCGGACGAAAAGGGCUUAAGACUAAGAAAUCUCUUCAAAGUCAACAUCCUGGCUGAUAAACGGAUUACAACUGGCAGAUGUCUCUCUACUGAUCAUCUUUUAGUCACCUAUCAGGAAAGUCACUAAAGCACCUCUCGUUGCACCUUCCCGUUUGUCUGCAUUUCGUCCCUGGUACUGCUGUGGGUAAUCAUGGUCAUGACAAGUAUAAAAUGCUGGAUGUGCUGGGGACAAUCUGAUCGUCUAGUUCUGCCUGACAUCUAAGGCCUCUUCUUGGUAGGAAAAGUCUGUGAGGACGAGGUGGAUCUAGUCUUGGUAGAGA
Long non-coding RNA from Dromaius novaehollandiae (emu), 451 nucleotides. NCBI's taxonomy places the organism in Eukaryota, Metazoa, Chordata, Aves, Casuariiformes, Dromaiidae. The record is from Ensembl.